RNAcentral lists this long non-coding RNA (899 nucleotides) under Homo sapiens (human). Its description in RNAcentral is "HSALNT0077093". Lineage: Eukaryota; Metazoa; Chordata; Mammalia; Primates; Hominidae. The record is from RNAcentral.
AAUGGUUUGGGCUGGAUCAGAGAAGUUGAAGAGGGGAUGGUGAGAAUCCAGGUUCUGAAGUUUUCAACCAAUACUCUUUCCACAACACCAGAAAAUCUGAAGAAAUUUGGAGAAGGAGGAAAAGUCUUACAGUUUCUCAGCAUGGUUCCUCUCCACAUCAUCCUACUGCUUCCAUAGUGAGGUAUGGAAAGUAGACCCGUGGGAGAUGAAGAGCUCCAGAUUGAUCCAGUCUCCAGGUCCUGGUGGUGGCUCCAGUGUUCUUACGAGGAGGAAAAAAGGGAGGUGGAAACUGUGUGGUGGAUGGUGGUAUGAAGCCCUCAGCAUGGAAAGCUGUAUAUGGCAGGGAUGGAGGGCUGGCCUGGAGUGGCUGACCACAUUUAUUAUUAAACAAUAUUUGCAUGGCAAAACAGUUAGAAAUAUUGUUACCUCCAUUAAAAAUGAUAGUAAUAAUAAUAACACAAACUGUCAUUUGUUAGGUGCUUACUAAAUGCCAGGUGCUUUACACGUAUUAUUCCAUUUAACAGUUACAACAGCCUUAUUCAAGUAGAUGUCAUUAACAUGCUAUUACCCCAUUUGACAGAUAAGAAAACUGAGGCUUUUGAAUAUAUCUUAGGGUGCCUCCAGCAGUUCAAAAUAAUCAAACUCAAACCAGCUUAAACAAUAAUGAAAUGCAUUUUUGUACAAAAUAGAAUGCCCAGCAGUAGGCAAGCCUUCAAGAUUGAUGGAUUUACUGGCCCAAUAGUGCCAUCAGGGAAUCAGGUUCUCUCUGAUGUGCCAUUUAUCAAUUCAGCUGUGGCUGGUUCUCCCCAUGGACAUAAGGUGGCUGCCACCAGAAACUGGGCUGCCAUUCUUAUUUACUUAUAUUUGACAUGCAUGGGAGAGAACCUUCUCCCCAGUGC